AUUGAACGCUGGCGGCAGGCCUAACACAUGCAAGUCGAACGGUAACAGGAAGAAGCUUGCUUCUUUGCUGACGAGUGGCGGACGGGUGAGUAAUGUCUGGGAAACUGCCUGAUGGAGGGGGAUAACUACUGGAAACGGUAGCUAAUACCGCAUAACGUCGCAAGACCAAAGAGGGGGACCUUCGGGCCUCUUGCCAUCGGAUGUGCCCAGAUGGGAUUAGCUAGUAUGUGGGGUAACGGCUCACCUAGGCGACGAUCCCUAGCUGGUCUGAGAGGAUGACCAGCCACACUGGAACUGAGACACGGUCCAGACUCCUACGGGAGGCAGCAGUGGGGAAUAUUGCACAAUGGGCGCAAGCCUGAUGCAGCCAUGCCGCGUGUAUGAAGAAGGCCUUCGGGUUGUAAAGUACUUUCAGCGGGGAGGAAGGGAGUAAAGUUAAUACCUUUGCUCAUUGACGUUACCCGCAGAAGAAGCACCGGCUAACUCCGUG
RNAcentral lists this ribosomal RNA (490 nucleotides) under uncultured bacterium. RNAcentral's name for it is "partial 16S ribosomal RNA". It matches the Rfam family "Bacterial small subunit ribosomal RNA", at positions 30 to 507 of the family's 1533-position model. The record is from RNAcentral.